GGUGUUGUGGCUCAGUGGUAAAGUAUCUGCUUGGCAUGCAGAAGGUCACAGGUUCAAUACCAGCAUCUCCAGCG
Molecule: transfer RNA, 74 nt
Filed under: Sphaerodactylus townsendi
Lineage: Eukaryota; Metazoa; Chordata; Lepidosauria; Squamata; Sphaerodactylidae
Description: tRNA-Ala
Rfam family: tRNA (bases 1-62)
About the family: Transfer RNA (tRNA) molecules are approximately 80 nucleotides in length.
Source: RNAcentral